Numida meleagris (helmeted guineafowl) is the source of this 617-nucleotide long non-coding RNA. RefSeq lists it as uncharacterized. Lineage: Eukaryota; Metazoa; Chordata; Aves; Galliformes; Numididae. The transcript is spliced from 3 exons. The record is from RefSeq and is a predicted model, not a curated record.
CCAGGACAACAGUGUAAACAUUUUAGCUAAACGCCAGAGACCAUCUUGUGUCUUAAAUUAAAACUGCAGAUACACAUCAGUCACAUUUCACCAGACAUGAAUAUGUACAGCAGUCAGUCAGCAUUCAUGAAGGUUACUCAACCCACUGAGGAUGUCAGAAUUCAGCCACGGAAUAUUAUCCAGAAAUGUUUCCAAAAAUGACUAGAGAGUUUGUGGACCUCCUCUGCACAAAGACUGCAGCCCUGCUCCAGAGUCCUGAAGACUGAAACUGGGAUCGCAAAACCAGACACAGGCGAGAGUUACUGGCAAAAUAAACAGCCUAAAGCAGAAGUUUUGCAUCAUCCUUCCCACACUGGUUCUUCCCUAUUUGCUAGAAGAUGAAGACAGGCUCCCGUGUUUGAAAACAGUGCUGAUCAACAGGAAAUAGUAGAUCUUUUCUAACACUGUAAAAGGAAAUUUAUUACAGUAAGGAAGAUAUUAUUUCUUGAGCUAUUUCACUUUUUUCACUAAAUCUAUCAUAAAUCAAACCAACCAAAAAAGAGCUCAGGAAUUAUUGGAUCUGAGAAAGAACUUAUUCAAAUGAAUUCAUCUAGCUAAAGGCAACUGUGAUUUAACUA